AGAUUCUUAGCUCAAUUGGUAGAGCAGAUGCCUUCUAAGCAUUUGGUUAUAGGUUCGAGUCCUAUAGAAUACA
Naegleria fowleri is the source of this 73-nucleotide non-coding RNA. The record is from the annotation of a RefSeq genome assembly. Lineage: Eukaryota; Heterolobosea; Eutetramitea; Acrasida; Naegleriidae.